This 945-nucleotide ribosomal RNA is filed under the name uncultured archaeon. RNAcentral's name for it is "bacterial SSU rRNA". It matches the Rfam family "Archaeal small subunit ribosomal RNA", at positions 1 to 922 of the family's 1478-position model. The record is from RNAcentral.
UUCCGGUUGAUCCCGCCGGACCCCACUGCUAUCGGGAUAGGACUAAGACAUGCUAGUCAAGCGCUUUCUAGCUAAUGUGAGAGCGCGGCGUACAGCUCAGUAACACGUGGCCAACCUGCCCUUGGGACGGGAACACCCCCGGGAAACUGGGGUUAAUUCCCGAUAGGUGAAGAAGUCUGGAAUGAUUCUUCGCUCAAAAGACGUUUAUGUCAUGCUCAUAUUCGUCGCCCAGGGAUGGGGCCGCGACCGAUCAGGUAGUUGGUGAGGCAAUGGCUCACCAAGCCUUUUACCGGUGCGGGCCGUGAGAGCGGGAGCCCGGAGAUGGGCACUGAGACAAGGGCCCAGGCCCCACGGGGCGCAGCAGUCGCGAAAAUUUUGCAAUACACGAAAGUGUGACAGAGCUAUCCCGAGUGCCAUCCGCUGAGGAAGGCUUUUACCCAGUAUAAAUAGCUGGGAGAAUAAGGAGAGGGCAAGUCUGGUGUCAGCCGCCGCGGUAAUACCAGCUCUCCGAGUAGUGUGGACGUUUAUUGGGCCUAAAGCAUCCGUAGCUUGCUAGAUAAGUCCUCUGUUAAAUCCACCGAUUCAACCGUUGGAUUGCGGGGGAUACUGUUUGGCUAGGGGACGGGAGAGGUCGACGGUAUUUCCGGGGUAGGGGUGAAAUCCUAUAAUCCUGGGAGGACCACCAGUGGCGAAGGCUGUUGACUAGAACGCGCCCGACGGUGAGGGAUGAAAGCUGGGGGAGCGAACCGGAUUAGAUACCCGGGUAGUCCCAGCUGUAAAUGAUGCAGGCUAGGUGUUUGGGCGGCCACGAGCCGCCCUAGUGCCGCAGGGAAGCUGUUAAGCCUGCCGCCUGGGGAGUACGGCCGCAAGGCUGAAACUUAAAGGAAUUGGCGGGGGAGCACCACAAGGGGUGAAGCUUGCGGUUUAAUUGGAUUCAACGCCGGA